UCACCUGAUGAAUUCUUUAAUCGCUGUGUUCUUUCUGAACAUCAUUGAAGAAACAAACAAGAUUCACCUUGGAGAACUGAACU
Molecule: small nucleolar RNA, 83 nt
Organism: Aspergillus glaucus CBS 516.65
Lineage: Eukaryota; Fungi; Ascomycota; Eurotiomycetes; Eurotiales; Aspergillaceae
Rfam family: A. fumigatus snoRNA Afu_294
Source: Rfam